AAGUCGUAACAAGGUUUCCGUAGGUGAACCUGCGGAAGGAUCAUUACCUUUCAUAAGGCAGGAUUAUUCUUAUAAUCCUCUGCCCUUAACCCUUUGUUUUUCUGCGUACUUAUCGUUUCUUUGGCGGGUCUUGCCCGCCAAUUGACACAUUAAAAACCUUUUUUGUAACUGUAAUCAGCGUCUGAAUAAAUUAUAAUAUUUACAACUUUCAACAACGGAUCUCUUGGUUCUG
RNAcentral lists this unclassified non-coding RNA (232 nucleotides) under fungal sp. RNAcentral's name for it is "partial internal transcribed spacer region". The stretch from base 1 to 46 matches the Rfam family "Eukaryotic small subunit ribosomal RNA", at positions 1786 to 1831 of the family's 1831-position model. The record is from RNAcentral. Lineage: Eukaryota; Fungi.